UUGGUGUCAAUACUAGAAACACAUGAGCACAAAGAAAACAGAUGUAAUUGGCUUCUGGAGGUCAGGUUAUGUAAAGACCCCGGUGAACAGAGGCAGACGAGCCGGAAGAAAUGUGGUUGGUGCAUAACUGGCACUGGGGUCGUGGUGGCUACAAAAGCAGAUGAUGGUUUUCAUUGCUUUGAGUUCUGCUCCUGGCUCUGUGAGUUAAUAGCCAAUGGACUUGAGCUUUCUGAUCAAGCACCCACUGAGUGAAUGAGAAUCAUAGAAUGGUUUUUGAGUUGGAAGGAACCCCUAAAGGCCAUCCAAAGGCAAUGAACAGGAACAUCCACAGCUCCAUCACGUGCUCAGAGCACUGUCCAGACUGACCUUGGGUGUCUGCAGGGAUGGAGUAUCUACACCAAUAUGGGCAAAUCCUGGAGUUUUAUUGCUCACUUUUCUUUUUCCUAAUGCAACCACUCUAGAAACAGACCUAUUUGAAGAGCAUAAAAAAAUGAUAAUCCAACCCAAUUUUUCCAGUGGAGGAUUCUCCUAGUAUAAGAGAUAUACCAAGAAGUUGAAGUUACUUGUACAAACUUCCAGCCCUAAUCAGUGUCUGGGACAGGUUGUGUUCAUGAUGUGAAGAGCCAGCUGUUUGCUGGUCCUUGGAUAGAAUAUGGUCUUGUUGGAGAGGUUUUGUGUAGCUUUGGGCUAUGUUAAGAGCCAUAAGAGACAGAGAUGUAAUCAUUUCCCCAACUCCUCUCCCCAUAUCAGGGAGAACUUGGCUGAGCCAAGAGAACAUGGCCCUUGCUGUGAGCAACACUGUGGUUUACAAAAUAAAACUAAUGUUGGACUAUCUAGGAAAAAUCACACUUAUUAUGAGCCUGUCUCAAACCUGCUUUGUGCCAAGGGAUAGUGAGGGGAUAGCUGCAGAGGAAUCUGUGUGGGAAGGGGGACAGGUACCUGAUCUCCUAUGAUUAACUUGACAAAUGUCUUCCUGGCCUCUAUCCAUUUCCUUGUGGAGAUACAGCUUUGGAUGCGUUCAAAAUGACCUACUUUUCACUGCUGGCCAGCAUCUUACUGCUGCCUUGUUUUUGUUGGACUUUUUUCCUGCAUUUGUGCAUGAGAUUUCUGUCCUGUGGCAGAUUGCUGGCCUUGAGAUGGAGUACAGGACAUCUCUGACUGCUCACGUGCAGAUGGUGACAAAGCACUGCACUUUGAGCUAUCUAUCCACUGAUGAUUUCAGAAUGCUUUAAAGACUAUUCUAUUCUCUUCUGUUCCCAGUGCUGUGCGCAGUAGUUGAGCCCUGUGCAGAGCUCCUAAAUAAAUAAAUAUGCUAUGUGUGAAGGAUGCUGCUAUUCCUGUUAAAAAUAACCUCAGCUUUUACUGCAGUGGCUCAGACAGGUGGCACCAAGGGCCUUUUCUGCAGCCAGCAUUUGCCUGGGGCUUGGACAGCCAAUUUGGUGCAUCCUGCUCAAAUCAAUGGGGAUCUUAAUGUACUCUUAAAACAUGUUUGGGACUUUAUGAGUUUCCAUCCUGCUCAAGAUAGCCACAGAUAUUUAUAAAAUAUGUACUAGAAUAACAGAGAGAUGGGGAGUGUAGGCUCAUUUAAGGUGUUACAAAUGACUCUACAAAUCUGUUAAGCCAGAAGCAGCCUCAGGUAAUAAGGGCAUUAGAGAAUCAUGAUGGAAUUGCAAAAUGUAACCCAGAGUGGAUAAAUAGAGAAAUUAUUAUAUUUAAUGUUGAUUUUCCUAUUGGACAUGUCAUUUCCAAUUUACUAGGGGAAUAGUUCAUUAUUUAUCUCCUGUUAUGUGCAAACAUGAAGGACAGACAAAGGUCUGUAGAGGUCUCUUUAUUAGCCCAGCAAUGUUGAUGGCUAUUCAGUCAUGUUAGAAGCUAAAAUAUUUUCUUCAAAUGCUGUGUUUGCCAAGUGCAAAGUGAGCUGACAUCUGCUUGGCUGCAGCUGGGGUCACAUAUGAAGCAGUGCCUAAA
This is a non-coding RNA of Meleagris gallopavo (turkey), 1968 nucleotides long. NCBI's taxonomy places the organism in Eukaryota, Metazoa, Chordata, Aves, Galliformes, Phasianidae. The record is from RefSeq and is a predicted model, not a curated record.